Molecule: ribosomal RNA, 464 nt
Filed under: uncultured bacterium
Lineage: Bacteria
Description: bacterial SSU rRNA
Rfam family: Bacterial small subunit ribosomal RNA
Source: RNAcentral
GAUGAACGCUGGCGGCGUGCUUAACACAUGCAAGUCGAACGGACAGAGGGAGCUUGCUCCCGAAGUUAGUGGCGGACGGGUGAGUAAUGUAUGAGCAACCUGCCUUUCAGAGGGGGACAACAGUUGGAAACGACUGCUAAUACCGCAUGACAUGUACUGUUCGCAUGGACGGUACAUCAAAGGAGCAAUCCGCUGAAAGAUGGGCUCAUAUCUGAUUAGAUAGUUGGUGAGGUAACGGCUCACCAAGUCUGCGAUCAGUAGCCGGACUGAGAGGUUGAACGGCCACAUUGGAACUGAGAUACGGUCCAGACUCCUACGGGAGGCAGCAGUGAGGGAUAUUGGGCAAUGGGCGAAAGCCUGACCCAGCAACGCCGCGUGAAGGAAGAAGGUCUUCGGAUUGUAAACUUUUGUCUUAUGGGACGAUAAUGACGGUACCAUAGGAGGAAGCCACGACUAACUACGUG